Molecule: ribosomal RNA, 1390 nt
Filed under: uncultured bacterium
Lineage: Bacteria
Description: bacterial SSU rRNA
Rfam family: Bacterial small subunit ribosomal RNA
Source: RNAcentral
AGAGUUUGAUCCUGGCUCAAGAUGAACUCUGGCGGCGUGCCUAAUACAUGCAAGUCGAACGCAUCACUUCGGUGAUGAGUGGCGAACGGGUGAGUAAUACAUAAGUAACCUGGCCCAUACAGGGGGGAUAACUGCUGGAAACGGCAGCUAAGACCGCAUAUGUGUAGAGAUCGCAUGAACUCUAUAUGAAAAGUGCUACGGCACUGGUAAGGGAUGGACUUAUGGCGCAUUAGCUAGUUGGCAGGGUAAAGGCCUACCAAGGCGACGAUGCGUAGCCGACCUGAGAGGGUGACCGGCCACACUGGGACUGAGACACGGCCCAGACUCCUACGGGAGGCAGCAGUAGGGAAUUUUCGGCAAUGGGGGAAACCCUGACCGAGCAACGCCGCGUGAAGGAAGAAGUAAUUCGUUAUGUAAACUUCUGUCAUAGAGGAAGAACGGUGGAUAUAGGGAAUGAUAUCCAAGUGACGGUACUCUAUAAGAAAGCCACGGCUAACUACGUGCCAGCAGCCGCGGUAAUACGUAGGUGGCGAGCGUUAUCCGGAAUUAUUGGGCGUAAAGAGGGAGCAGGCGGCACUAAGGGUCUGUGGUGAAAGAUCGAAGCUUAACUUCGGUAAGCCAUGGAAACCGUAGAGCUAGAGUGUGUGAGAGGAUCGUGGAAUUCCAUGUGUAGCGGUGAAAUGCGUAGAUAUAUGGAGGAACACCAGUGGCGAAGGCGACGAUCUGGCGCAUAACUGACGCUCAGUCCCGAAAGCGUGGGGAGCAAAUAGGAUUAGAUACCCUAGUAGUCCACGCCGUAAACGAUGAGUACUAAGUGUUGGGUGUCAAAGCUCAGUGCUGCAGUUAACGCAAUAAGUACUCCGCCUGAGUAGUACGUUCGCAAGAAUGAAACUCAAAGGAAUUGACGGGGGCCCGCACAAGCGGUGGAGCAUGUGGUUUAAUUCGAAGCAACGCGAAGAACCUUACCAAGUCUUGACAUCCUUCUGACCGGUACUUAACCGUACCUUCUCUUCGGAGCAGGAGUGACAGGUGGUGCAUGGUUGUCGUCAGCUCGUGUCGUGAGAUGUUGGGUUAAGUCCCGCAACGAGCGCAACCCUUAUCUUUAGUAGCCAGCGGUCCGGCCGGGCACUCUAGAGAGACUGCCAGGGAUAACCUGGAGGAAGGCGGGGAUGACGUCAAAUCAUCAUGCCCCUUAUGACUUGGGCUACACACGUGCUACAAUGGCGUAAACAAAGGGAAGCAAAGCUGUGAAGCCGAGCAAAUCUCAAAAAUAACGUCUCAGUUCGGACUGUAGUCUGCAACCCGACUACACGAAGCUGGAAUCGCUAGUAAUCGCAGAUCAGAAUGCCGCGGUGAAUACGUUCCCGGCCCUUGCACACACCGCCCGUCA